Molecule: ribosomal RNA, 484 nt
Filed under: uncultured bacterium
Lineage: Bacteria
Description: partial 16S ribosomal RNA
Rfam family: Bacterial small subunit ribosomal RNA
Source: RNAcentral
AUUGAACGCUGGCGCCAUGCUUUACACAUGCAAGUCGAACGGCAGCGCGGGCUUCGGCCUGGCGGCGAGUGGCGAACGGGUGAGUAAUACAUCGGAACGUGCCCAGUAGUGGGGGAUAGCUCGGCGAAAGCCGGAUUAAUACCGCAUACGACCUGAGGGUGAAAGCGGGGGAUCUUCGGACCUCGCGCUAUUGGAGCGGCCGAUGGCAGAUUAGCUAGUUGGUGGGGUAAAGGCCUACCAAGGCGACGAUCUGUAGCUGGUCUGAGAGGACGACCAGCCACACUGGGACUGAGACACGGCCCAGACUCCUACGGGAGGCAGCAGUGGGGAAUUUUGGACAAUGGGCGAAAGCCUGAUCCAGCAAUGCCGCGUGUGUGAUGAAGGCCUUCGGGUUGUAAAGCACUUUUGGCGGGAACGAAAAGGACUGUGCCAAUACCACGGUUCGAUGACGGUACCCGCAGAAUAAGCACCGGCUAACUACGUG